ACUGGAGAAGGCCGCAGGGACCUCUGCCUAGGAAAGCCAGAAAAACUCACUACCCAGCCCACAGGCAGAGAAGGGAGUGGAGGCGGCCAGCGGUGUGUCUCAGAAGAGCUGUAAAUACUGUGCUGACACAGGGUUGCAUGUAACCACAAUUGGAGAAAUGCUUUCUACUAAGCCAAAGGUAAAUUGGCACUGCCAAUUGCUACUUCACAGAAAGUAAAAAUGAUGUUGAGAGGAAAGCAAGGAAGUAUGGGAUCUUGUGCUGCUGUUGUUACCUGGCUGCUCCAAAGAACCAUAAGAUUAUAACCAACUCAUCUUGGUUUGCCUGGGAUUUUCCUGGUUUAUCACUGAAAUUCCUGUAUCCUGGAAGACCCUUGAGCCCCAAGCAAACUAGGACAGUUGGUCACCUACUGAAGAAACUUCCUUAAAAAAGAGUUUGCACAGUUGUAGCUACCAGAAGAAAGCUCAGCAAAGAUUCAAAGUCCUUCUAAAAUGAUCCAGAUUGAGAAUACCAGCUGCUGGGGAAUCAUUAUUAGGCAUUACAUCAAGAGGAGGCAUCAAAAAUCCAACAGGAGAAGCUACCUUUGCUAACAAUAGCGAAGAGGCAGAAUUCAGAAUUCUUACUGAUUGGAGUCAUCACAAGAUUAUAUUAUAUUACAUUAUUAUAUUAGAUUAGAUGGUUUCUCCUGCUAGAAGCAACUUUUAUUUUUUUUAACUUUAGCAGUCUUUUAUUUCCAAAAUGAGUAAAUCAAUGGACAAAAAAGAAAUAGGAAGAAAAUGAAUUUGGCAUAACUCAUUACUAGAAAAGCAAUGUUCAUUUUGAAUAAUGGGAAACUGAAUUUGUGUGAAUUUGUGUGACAUCAUCCAAAGCCUCCAAUUUCACCAAUGUCAUUCCUUUGCAUCUGAGUCACACAGUUGGUAGUUUUUCACUUUAACUCUUCCAAAAUAAAAGUAAAUAAAAAUAUUCUAUUAGGAAACCUGAUAAAUUUUGAAACCCAAAAGCUCAAGCCAGUUCUAUAGACCUUGAAUUUUUCAACCUAGCACUAAAAUUGUCAGUAAUGGAUUGGAUAGAAUACAGGCUUACACAGAAACAAACAUGGUUGACUUUUUCCAGACACAGAAAAUAAGGUUACCAAUGUUAUAAAAUCUCUAAGUUGUAUCUACUUGGAGAUACUGUGCUUGAUAUCAGUGGUCCCGAUUUCAUUAGGAGAAAUCUGAUCAUCUUUCUGGAAUUGAAAACUGGAAAUGGCCCAGCUGGAUUUCCUUUUAGAAGACACAAGGUUUCUUGAAAUGAGCUAUCCAAAAGUAAGAUAUUCCUUUCUUGCACCAGUAAAGACUGAAUGAGCCUGAACAGGUGUUGCAUAAAUGACCACUUGAUCACCCAAAUGCAUGAGCCUCUCUUCUUUCUGGAUACAAGGUCAAGCCAAAUCAUGUUUUCUUGCCUCCCUUUUACUUAUGUGUGGCCAUGUACUAAAUUCUAGCCAAAAGAAAGGAAGCAGAAAUGAUAUGUGCUACUACCAAGAUUGGACUAUGAAAACCUACUACACAUUCUCCUCAAUGUAUGCUUCACUUCAAGUCUACCAAGAUGGUGGCUUACAGGGUAUCGAAAUCUGCUGAAGAUGAGAGAACCUGCAUUCACCUGGGAGCCCGAAUGACUGUUAAGAAGGUCGCCUGUCCAGUUGAUCACUUGACUGGUUUAUGUGGGGAAAAAUAUAUUCAGCAAGAGCUGAUAUGGUUUCAGGAGUAUUGCUAGAGAAGUUAGCCUACUUUCACCAAUUUGAACAAAAGCCGAAGAUAGGCUGCAUUAUGAAGGCACUGUUUCUAGGGCUUGCUGUAAAAGAUGAUAUCCAGGUAAUGAGCAUUCGUGAGGGCAGGUGAUGCCUUUUGCUAUGUGCCAUGUCAAUGCACAAGACAGACAUACUUUCUCUAAGGCAGUCUAUUUCCAGCAGAGAGUUUUCUUAAGUGUGAAAAGAUAUUGCAGUAGACAAGCAAGAUUUCUUUUUAUUUCUGCUAAAGGUAAUAAACAUUAAGGUCUCAUUUUAAAAAAUAUAAAUAAAUUGAAUUAUAGGUGAAAAGGAAUGCAUCAUGCUGCUACUUAACAUUUCUUUGAUUUCCCCAAAUGGAAAUUAUGAUUAAGCCUAAGUUUUAAGUUAUAAGUCAUUUGAGACGCUUCUGAAUGUUGUCUCCAAAUUUGUCUCCAUAUUUGAAGAACUAUGUAUUUCUCCAAGGACUCAUAAAGUGGAGAGCGGUCAAAUGUGCCAACAGCCUAAGAAAAGGAAAACUUUUAAGUGAAGGAAAUGUUGCUAAUAAGUGGAAAGGUUACGUUUUAUUGAGUAUACACAUUUAUGGUCAUAGUUUUAAGUUUCGCUUCAAGCAGCAUUGCCAAGAUUAAAGUUAUAAUUAAAUCCCCAUUUUAUAAAGAUGUCAGUUAGUUUUUUCAGUGAUUUUAUGAUUUAAUUAAGGACUAGGACAACUUAUUGCAAGCAUGAGUAGUUUUAAUAGUAAAAUAUAGUUUAGAUUACUAACUUGAUGUUCCAGAGGGACUGCUUCCUUGUGAAAGGGUAAUUCACUGUAAGACUUCCUUAUGUUCAAACCUGUUCUCUCUUCAUGCAGUGUAUUUUAUGACUCAGUUUUGUGGUUUCCACAUACAACUAUCCUAAUAGCAGCUGCUUCCCAACCUCCCCCCACCACACACACACACACACACACACACACACACACACACGUUUUUGUCUUACAGAUUUAGUUCUUUACUUGUGGUGAAACUAUUAGAAUAGAGGCAAAAUGCUACAUGAAUCUACAAAGAUAUACGUCUUCUAAUGAAAAUAGUAAUUACUUUUUCAUAAUUUCACAAAAUGAAUAAGCCUAAACAAACAAGACACAUGCAAUGACCAGAGGAAAAAAGAGGCAAUUCCUAAAACACAUGUACAAAGCUUCGUUUACACUGAGCUCCGGCCUUUUUUUGCCUCUUAAGGAAAUUUGUUUCAGUGGAGGAGUUGUGAGAGUACUUGUCACAUACAGGUAUCAGCUUUUUCCUACCACAAAGGAAAGAAAAAGAAAAGAAGCUGAUGAACCUGAUUAAUAAUAAUUUAGGGUGGCAGACGUAGAAGGGAGUCAGAGAUUCAUCCAGUGCAUUUUUAUAAUCUAAUAUUGGACAAAACUAAAUACACGUACAGGAUCACAAGAUGCCUUAACGGAGUCUAUAUUGGACAUACAAAGACUUGAUGAUUAAAGCUCUUAAAAACAGACAUCUGGUAAAUCUAUGACUGGUAAGUGUGUGUGUGUGUGUGUGUGUGUGUGUGUGUGUGUGUGUGUGUGUGUGUAGAGAGAGAGAGAGGGAGAUAGAAAGAGAGCAGAGGGAGAGCGCACACACAUACAACAGUCUGUGGCUUGGAUGGUCUAGGCACUUGGAGGAUAUGCAAAGUAUGAACCUAAAUUUUAAGAACCCUCUACCAAAUUGGGAAACAAGACUCAUGCAAUGAAACAAUAAAGUAAUACAAGAAAAUAAGAUGUGAUUUAAUGGCAAAACAAAACAACAUGUUAUUGGGGGAAAAAUAAAAGAGCACUUCCUAUUAUAUAAAAUUUGAAGCUGUUAGUCAGCUCUGCAGUACCUAGUUCUUUGACACUGAUAAAUUUCCUUAAAUUUUCUAAGGUAUUAAACUACAUGAUCUCCAAAAUUCCGAAUUUCCUUAGAUUAUCUAAGGUAUUGGACUACAUGAUCUCUGAAAUUCCUUACGCCUGGAAAUUCUAAGACUUUAAUUUUAAAGAUAAUCAGACUAGGAAGUGAACAAAUGUGUCCUCAGAGGGAAUAGGACAUGAAAUGAGCCUCAAAGAAAAAAUAGGUUUCACAAAGUGUUCAAGGACAAGGUAGGCAUCCAAACAUGAAAUGAAAAAAAAAAAAAAACCACAAAAUAUAUAUCUGAUAUGAUGAAUGAUGUGGCAUGUCCACUUUUCCAUGACAAGUCAUCUGAGUGGAACACAUAAUCCAUGUCAGAGGCAGUCGCCACAUAUUAGAUCUUGGCAUGUUUUGAAAACCAGGGUGAGAAUUUGACCAUCACAUUUAAAAGGUGAUAGGAGGAACACAGCUGGAAAAUGACAGAGAAAGAACCAAAUGUUGAGGAAGAAGUUGAGGUAAUGAAAUGAAACAGAAUUAAUAGAGAACCAAAAUGAUACCACAAUGGUCUGGGGAUAGUGUUGAAAAGAAUAGCCAAUCAAAUAGUAGGUUUUUGAAUAAAAAUAUAAAUGUGUCAAAUGAGAUAGAGACAUACUGGUUCCAAGCUAUUCCCAAGUCAAAAGAAAAUGGAAAUUUAAAGCGGUGCUGUGCUUGCUUACUUCAUAAACAAAGAGAAGACUAUUGUAAUCAGUAGCACCUUUGCUUCCUCCAUCCCGUGUCCAUAUAAAAGCAGUCAUUGGCACAACCACUGUUAUUGCCAAUAGAAGGGAGAAACAUAAAAUAAAAUAAAAUAAUAAUUACAUGUAGUUUCUAAAUGUUUGCAAUUUAUGUAUUCAAAACUGAAUAUAUUUUUAUAACAAAAAUUAAUUUUAAAAAGGGAGUGUUUAACAUAGGCACUGAUUAAAAUAAUGAUGUGUAUAAGGCAAUGCUAGCCAUAUCAUUAUGGGUGAGAAGUUUUGUGCUAUAGUCAAUAAUCUGAUUUUUUAAAUCUUUAAAUUUCCCAUAGCUUCAGGCAUGAAAGGAGGACUUUGUGUGUAUCAGCGGAAGAAAGAGAGGGAGGUUCUUGCCGUUACACUGCAGAAAUUAACAAAAUUUGGCCUACUCAGAGGCAGUUAAGCGAAGAACAUCAUGAUUACUUAUAGUUUGUGGAAACAAAAAUAAAAGCCACUAUGCUAUAAAAGAAACAAAAUUAAUCUGAUGCAGAGGAGCAAAGAGAAUUUAACACUUCCUGUAUGUGAAAAACUGCUAAGCCAAAAUUGGUUAGCAGCCGUUGUUUUCUGUAGACAGGAAGCAAGAAUUAACUUAAAUUGUAGCUUGCUAUUAAGUUAAAUAUAAGGAAGUGUUCAUUUACUAUGCAAAUUAUUUCCAAAUACAGGAAAGAAAUACAAAACAUGAGAAAAUUAUGGAAUGAGUUUUCAUAGCCAUACUAAGAAAUGGAAAAGUAAGAAGUAAGUCGCCUUUCUGAGAUGUGAAUCUGUCAAAUGUAAAACAUUAGAAGAAAAGCACUUAGAGAUUUGGAUGAGAAAUAUUAAAUGAGAAGCCUGCAUAAGGAAGAGUGACAAAGUAUAAAGAAUUAGAAAUUAAUAUUAAAUACAUUAUUAUAUUCAAAAUACUUCCCCCUAAGAAAUUAAGAUAAAUGGUUCAUGUUUAUUUUAUCUAUUCAUUAUAAAAAUUUUAAACAAUGCAGUAAAGAAUAACAGUUUUUAAAUUAAACACAACAAAACUUAGUUAAGCCACAAACAAAUGACACAAACUACCACAAUCCAGAAAUAACUAUUUUUAUCAUUAGGUAAAUAUCAUUACAAAUAUAUAUAUAUAUUAUUGACAUAAUAGAUACAAUUUUUUUACUCCUAGUGAGGUAUAAUCGACAUACAACAAACUGCACAUAUUUAAAAUGUACAAUGUGGUAAAUUUGAGACGUGUAAACCCAUGAAACCAUCACCACAGUCAAUAUAUUGAUAUAUGAGAAAAGUUUUGGGGGUAAUAGAUAUCAUUAUUUUGAUUAUGUAUUUAACAGACAUUAAACAUAUUUUUAAUAAACGUUAAUUAACCAUUCUAAAAAUCCUACAAGUGUGGUGUUAUUUUAUCCCCACUUAAGAAAACUAAAGCCUAGUUGGGUUAAGUAAACUGCUUAAAGUCACAAAACUAGUAAGUACCAAUCUGAACUUGAACCCAGGCAUUCUGGAAUAUAAAUAAGCAAAUAUAAUGUCUGUAGGUAUAUACUUACAGAAAUGGUAUAGAGAUUACAGAAUAAAUUCUUAUAAACAAUAACAAAAUAAAAAGGAAAUUGUGUUUCUAAUUUGGUUUAUUUAGCAACCCUUAAGGGCUUAAAGGCGAAGAUAUUACUUAACUCUAAUGGAAAGGCCAUGUAAGAUAUUGGCUGGGCAUACUGCUACCUUCUGGGAAGCUCUCUGUAAAGGUGAGUUUAACUGUGAGAUGGGGACAGUACAUCUCAGGUGAGUAACUGUGAGGUGGGGAUCUAAUUCAUAGGGAGAAAUUUAAGUGUAAGUCAAUGAUUUAAAUCACUUAAAAUUUUGCCUACCCACCCUCCCCGACCCAGGGAACAUUGAGCAAUGUCUGGAGACAUGUUUGGUUGUGACAACUUGGGGACAUUUCUGCCAUCAAGUGCCAGAAGUAAGGAUCUUGCUAAACAUCCUGCAAUGCACAGGACAGCCCCCUACAAAAAAGAGUUAUUUGGCCCCAAAUGCCAACGGUAGCACCGUUGAGCAGGUCCUGAAUGAGGAGAAGCCAUGAGUCAGCCAAAGCCAUGGACACAACAAAAGAGAGUAGGGACAUUUAGCCUGUAGAGCACUAACAGUAAAAGCCAAAACAGACAGAAGCUUAGCUGACUGUCCACAGUGGCAGAGGUCUUGUAUGGAACAACGGAAGCCUACUUUUUAGAAGAAAAUGGGUCGUCCAAAGGGAAUCAAGUCUCUAGAACUAUCCUGAACCGUGACUCAUAUUGAAGUUCUCCCCAAAACCUGCUGAGACAUGUUCCUUUUCCUUACUGACGAACCUGUAAAAUAAACUCCUCUUACCUGUUAUACAGUAAGUAUGCCUCUUUUAUAUUUUUGUAUGCUGAAAUAUCCUAAAAGAACCUCCAAGUUUAAUUAUUUAUGUAUUAUAGUCUUAUGCUCUUUAGUAUUGAAUAUACAUUUAAAUACUAAUAAAAUAUUUUACCCAAAUCAUUUAUUCAUUUCUCAGAAUAUAUUCAAGUUGGUUCCCAUAUAUAUUGUUUUCCUGUACAUGGUAAAAUUAAACUUAUAGUACUGGCAUUGAUCCUUAAACAGGAUAUUCAAGAGCUGUUGAGUUAAAAUAAUUAAGAUUAUUUAAUAUGAAGAUGGACACAG
Molecule: long non-coding RNA, 7020 nt
Filed under: Homo sapiens (human)
Lineage: Eukaryota; Metazoa; Chordata; Mammalia; Primates; Hominidae
Description: HSALNT0369526
Source: RNAcentral